This 253-nucleotide ribosomal RNA is filed under the name uncultured bacterium. RNAcentral's name for it is "partial 16S ribosomal RNA". It matches the Rfam family "Bacterial small subunit ribosomal RNA", at positions 524 to 776 of the family's 1533-position model. The record is from RNAcentral.
UACGUAGGUGGCAAGCGUUAUCCGGAAUUACUGGGCGUAAAGCGCACGCAGGCGGCUGGACAAGUCUGACGUGAAAGCUCCUGGCUUAACUGGGAGAGGUCGUUGGAAACUGUCUAGCUUGAGGCAAUGAGAGGGGUGUGGAAUUCCCGGUGUAGUGGUGGAAUGCGUAGAUAUCGGGGGGAACACCAGUGGCGAAAGCGGCACCCUGGCAUUGGCCUGACGCUCAUGUGCGAAAGCGUGGGGAGCGAACGGG